AUCGCGUCUUCCCCUAACCCCCCCUAUGUGGGGGGAGGGGAAGGAUGAUGGCUUCCCACACCCCACCGGGUGUGGUUGGCCUAAAAAAGGAGCCUCAGGUUGCGGACUGCUGCGGCGAUAGGUGGUAGACGAGUAAUUGCUUUGCUUAUCGCGUCGUGCAGUAACCAGCCCUAGCUGGCUCGAAGGACCCUGAUUUGCCUCCGAACGGCGGCAAAACCGUU
RNAcentral lists this small nucleolar RNA (221 nucleotides) under Salicornia europaea subsp. disarticulata. RNAcentral's name for it is "internal transcribed spacer 2". The record is from RNAcentral. Lineage: Eukaryota; Viridiplantae; Streptophyta; Magnoliopsida; Caryophyllales; Amaranthaceae.